GCCUGGGUGGCUCAGUCGGUUGAGCAUCUGACUUUGGCUCAGGUCAUGAUCUCACAGUUCGUGGGUUCAAGCCCCACAUCAGGCU
RNAcentral lists this transfer RNA (85 nucleotides) under Felis catus (domestic cat). It matches the Rfam family "tRNA". Rfam says of the family: Transfer RNA (tRNA) molecules are approximately 80 nucleotides in length. Lineage: Eukaryota; Metazoa; Chordata; Mammalia; Carnivora; Felidae. The record is from Rfam by way of RNAcentral.